GUUCAACCACGACAUCCACAUCAUAUCGGCCGACGUCCAUGCCCGUGACUUCUGCGUCCUACAUAACAACCGAUAGCAACUUGAAAAAUAGACAACAUUAUCUUUUAGACAUUUUUGGCAAGUUUGACUGGCUGGUUUCAUAAUUAUUUUUGGACAUAUGCAAAAAUAAAAAGAUCUACAUAAAGAAGAGGGUAUUCGUCUGAAUCAGAUGAAGAUUAAUAACCUUGAAGUGUUUGAUGAGGCAUGUGAUUUUUGCUUGCACAUCCACACACAACUCUCCAUUAACCACAAUACUCACCGUUAUUUCUGAAAUUUAUGGUGUAGUUGUACUUGCGGAACAAUAUGAAAGUGAAGGUGAGAUCAGAGUUUAUACAGUUGUGGAAACAACUUCUUUGAUGGUUGUAGAUCCCGCAAUCGUA
Molecule: long non-coding RNA, 419 nt
Organism: Arabidopsis thaliana (thale cress)
Lineage: Eukaryota; Viridiplantae; Streptophyta; Magnoliopsida; Brassicales; Brassicaceae
Product: other RNA
Exons: 1
Source: RefSeq